RNAcentral lists this long non-coding RNA (954 nucleotides) under Apis mellifera (honey bee). RNAcentral's name for it is "uncharacterized LOC113219303, transcript variant X4". The record is from RNAcentral. Lineage: Eukaryota; Metazoa; Arthropoda; Insecta; Hymenoptera; Apidae.
GCAGAUUUGAAAUAAAUGUAGCCAAUCGGAAAGCAGUUAAGGUCUAACCGCGAAACGAAUCAUUGCGCAUUGUAAUGCGCAUGGCGUAUUAGUCUACAGUCGAAAUUCAUAGCGACGAGUUGCGUUUUACCUGUGAAGUGUAUAAUUACAUAAAAUUUUCGUUAAUAAGGUAUUGUGUUGGCCUUAAUUGUAGAUUAUUAAGUUUUAUUUAAUCAAUACGUGUUUGUUUAACCAUUAUUAUAUCAAAAUUGAAUAGUAUUUAGACUUUUAUCGUCUUUCUAAACUUUAUCGUUCGAUCGAAGUUUCGAUGAUUUCGAAAGCAUAAUAAUUUUCGCAGAUGCCAUGAUAAUUAAGAAAUAAUCCGAAGAAUUCAUUCGAACGAGAAUCAGUGCAUUAAGAGAAUAAGGCUAUCACGCAAAGAGAUUUUUCUAUCUGAUGAUAUUCUUCUGGACUUCAGCAGCAGUUCUUCGCUUCGAAUGAUUUCUAUUAUAAUAAUAUUGAUAUCGAGAUGGUGGAAAAUGGAACUCUAAUGAAUAUUCCAAAAAUUAUAAAAUAUAUCGAUACAAAUUUUCAUGUAUUGUUGGUUUAAUAUCUUGUAGCCACGAUCAAUGACUGGAAUAUUAUUCGUGACUAUGCAUUCUCCGAAGGCUGUCUAUCCGAAUACAAACGACCAAGGUCAUGAAUCUACGAGAACGAUAUUUCUUCCAACAAAUCUAGAGCCUCGUAAAAAGUAUCGCAACACGCGCGUAUCUAUUACCAAUCGCCCUACUCUCCGACCAAAAUAAUCGAUAAGAGGUUCUCGAAACUGGUUGAUGCAUCGACCUUUUUUGCCGAAAGAGAAGGAAAAGAACCUUAUCGUUGGGGAAUAUCUCUUACGCUAUAUAUAAACUAUAUAUAUAAUACUCACCGUAAUAACGAAGAAAACAUUGGAAAAUCAAAAUUUCCAGUAAUACG